This 253-nucleotide ribosomal RNA is filed under the name uncultured bacterium. Its description in RNAcentral is "partial 16S ribosomal RNA". It matches the Rfam family "Bacterial small subunit ribosomal RNA", at positions 524 to 776 of the family's 1533-position model. The record is from RNAcentral.
UACGUAGGGGGCAAGCGUUAUCCGGAAUUACUGGGUGUAAAGGGUGAGUAGGCGGCAUGGUAAGCCAGAUGUGAAAGCCUUGGGCUUAACCCGAGGAUUGCAUUUGGAACUAUCAAGCUAGAGUACAGGAGAGGAAAGCGGAAUUCCUAGUGUAGCGGUGAAAUGCGUAGAUAUUAGGAAGAACACCAGUGGCGAAGGCGGCUUUCUGGACUGAAACUGACGGUGAGGCGCGAAAGCGUGGGGAGCAAACAGG